Molecule: ribosomal RNA, 492 nt
Filed under: uncultured bacterium
Lineage: Bacteria
Description: partial 16S ribosomal RNA
Rfam family: Bacterial small subunit ribosomal RNA
Source: RNAcentral
AGUGAACGCUGGCGGUAGGCCUAACACAUGCAAGUCGAACGGCAGCACAGUAAGAGCUUGCUCUUACGGGUGGCGAGUGGCGGACGGGUGAGGAAUACAUCGGAAUCUACUUUUUCGUGGGGGAUAACGUAGGGAAACUUACGCUAAUACCGCAUACGACCUACGGGUGAAAGCAGGGGAUCUUCGGACCUUGCGCGAUUGAAUGAGCCGAUGUCGGAUUAGCUAGUUGGCGGGGUAAAGGCCCACCAAGGCGACGAUCCGUAGCUGGUCUGAGAGGAUGAUCAGCCACACUGGAACUGAGACACGGUCCAGACUCCUACGGGAGGCAGCAGUGGGGAAUAUUGGACAAUGGGCGCAAGCCUGAUCCAGCCAUACCGCGUGGGUGAAGAAGGCCUUCGGGUUGUAAAGCCCUUUUGUUGGGAAAGAAAAGCAGCAGGUUAAUACCCCGCUGUUAUGGCGGUACCCAAAGAAUAAGCACCGGCUAACUUCGUG